This is a non-coding RNA of Pangasius djambal, 72 nucleotides long. NCBI's taxonomy places the organism in Eukaryota, Metazoa, Chordata, Actinopteri, Siluriformes, Pangasiidae. The record is from the annotation of a GenBank genome assembly.
UCCCUGGAGGACUAGUCGUUAGGCCAUGGCACUUUCACUGCUGUGGCCCGGGUUCAAUUCCUGGCCAGGGAA